Dichanthelium oligosanthes is the source of this 200-nucleotide microRNA precursor. It matches the Rfam family "MIR1435 microRNA precursor family". NCBI's taxonomy places the organism in Eukaryota, Viridiplantae, Streptophyta, Magnoliopsida, Poales, Poaceae. The record is from Rfam.
UUGGUUUGUCCUAAGUCAAAUUUGACAAACUUUGACCAAGUUUAUAUAAAAAUAUAACAACAACUAUACUAUCAAACAUACAUACUAUCAAAACAUAUUACAUGGUGAAUUCUAUGAAACAAAUUUGGUAUUGUAGAUGUUGUUAUAUUUUUCUAUAAACUUGGUCAAAUUUAGAUAAGUUUGACUUAGGACAAACAAAA